UACAGAGACUGCAAGCGUUAUUCGGAUUCACUGGGCGUAAAGGGUGCGCAGGCGGCCGAGUGUGUGAGGCGUGAAAGCCUGGAGCUCAACUCCAGAAUUGCACCUCAAACUACACGGCUAGAGCAUUGGAGAGGGUAGCGGAAUUCACGGUGUAGCAGUGAAAUGCGUAGAUAUCGUGAGGAACACCAGAGGCGAAGGCGGCUACCUGGACAAUUGCUGACGCUCAGGCACGAAAGCGUGGGGAGCAAAAGGG
This 253-nucleotide ribosomal RNA is filed under the name Opitutus sp. Its description in RNAcentral is "partial 16S ribosomal RNA". It matches the Rfam family "Bacterial small subunit ribosomal RNA", at positions 524 to 776 of the family's 1533-position model. Lineage: Bacteria; Pseudomonadati; Verrucomicrobiota; Opitutia; Opitutales; Opitutaceae. The record is from RNAcentral. RNAcentral also lists the same sequence under 1 other name.